Molecule: transfer RNA, 70 nt
Filed under: Ostrea lurida
Lineage: Eukaryota; Metazoa; Mollusca; Bivalvia; Ostreida; Ostreidae
Description: tRNA-Asp
Source: RNAcentral
UAGGUGGUUAGUAUAAAUAGUACACUAGCCUGUCACGUUAGAAGUGCAUAAGAAAUUAAGCACCACCUAA